Molecule: transfer RNA, 71 nt
Filed under: Marmota monax (woodchuck)
Lineage: Eukaryota; Metazoa; Chordata; Mammalia; Rodentia; Sciuridae
Description: tRNA.Asn
Rfam family: tRNA
About the family: Transfer RNA (tRNA) molecules are approximately 80 nucleotides in length. Their secondary structure includes four short double-helical elements and three loops (D, anti-codon, and T loops). Further hydrogen bonds mediate the characteristic L-shaped molecular structure. tRNAs have two regions of fundamental functional importance: the anti-codon, which is responsible for specific mRNA codon recognition, and the 3' end, to which the tRNAs corresponding amino acid is attached (by aminoacyl-tRNA synthetases). tRNAs cope with the degeneracy of the genetic code in two manners: having more than one tRNA (with a specific anti-codon) for a particular amino acid; and 'wobble' base-pairing, i.e. permitting non-standard base-pairing at the 3rd anti-codon position.
Source: RNAcentral
GGGGUUGUGGCUCAGUGGUAGAGUGCUUGCCUGUUAUGUGUGAGGCACUGAGUUAAAUUCUCAGCACCACA